UGGCCUUGGCCGCGUGCUAAUACAUGCAAGUCGAGCGGACAGAUGGGAGCUUGCUCCCUGAUGUUAGCGGCGGACGGGUGAGUAACACGUGGGUAACCUGCCUGUAAGACUGGGAUAACUCCGGGAAACCGGGGCUAAUACCGGAUGGUUGUUUGAACCGCAUGGUUCAAACAUAAAAGGUGGCUUCGGCUACCACUUACAGAUGGACCCGCGGCGCAUUAACUAGUUGGGGAGGUAACGGCUCACAAAGGCA
RNAcentral lists this ribosomal RNA (253 nucleotides) under Bacillus licheniformis. RNAcentral describes it as "partial 16S ribosomal RNA". It matches the Rfam family "Bacterial small subunit ribosomal RNA", at positions 37 to 275 of the family's 1533-position model. Lineage: Bacteria; Bacillati; Bacillota; Bacilli; Caryophanales; Bacillaceae. The record is from RNAcentral.